Molecule: small nuclear RNA, 344 nt
Filed under: Panthera pardus (leopard)
Lineage: Eukaryota; Metazoa; Chordata; Mammalia; Carnivora; Felidae
Description: 7SK RNA (ENSPPRG00000014922.1)
Rfam family: 7SK RNA (bases 1-302)
About the family: 7SK was discovered as an abundant small nuclear RNA in the mid-70s but a possible function has only recently been suggested. Two independent studies have found that 7SK RNA binds the CDK9/cyclin T complex (known as elongation factor P-TEFb).
Source: RNAcentral
GGAAGUGAGGGCAAUCUGGCCAUGACAUCUGUCACCCCAUUGAUCGCCAGGGUUGAUUCGGCUGAUCUGGCUGGCUAGGCGGAUGUCCCCUUCCUCCCUCACCACUCCACGUGUGUCCCUCCCGAUGUUGCAUGCUCAGUUGAAGAGGACGACCUUCCCCGAUAGAAGAGGAUCGGUCUUCGGUCAAGGGUAUACGAGUAGCUGUGCUCCCCUGCUAGAACAACAAGCUCUCAAGGUCCUUUUGUAGGAGAAUGUAGGAUAGGCAAGCUUCUAAGACUCCACAAACACAUCCAAAUGUCUUUCUUAAAAAAAAAAAAAAAGGAUAAUAGGAAAGACAACACUUU